RNAcentral lists this ribosomal RNA (510 nucleotides) under uncultured bacterium. RNAcentral describes it as "bacterial SSU rRNA". It matches the Rfam family "Bacterial small subunit ribosomal RNA", at positions 15 to 518 of the family's 1533-position model. The record is from RNAcentral.
GAUCCUGGCUCAGGAUGAACGCUAGCUACAGGCUUAACACAUGCAAGUCGCGGGGCAGCAUGUUGUGUGCUUGCACACGAUGAUGGCGACCGGCGCACGGGUGAGUAACGCGUAUCCAACCUUCCCUUAGUAGGGCAUAGCCCGGCGAAAGUCGGAUUAAUACCCUAUGUUCUUCGUAGAUGGCAUCUGAGACGAAGCAAAGGUUAGCGCUAAGGGAUGGGGAUGCGUCUGAUUAGGCAGUCGGCGGGUAACGGCCCACCGAGCCAUCGAUCAGUAGGGUUCUGAGAGGAAGGUCCCCCACAUUGGAACUGAGACACGGUCCAAACUCCUACGGGAGGCAGCAGUGAGGAAUAUUGGUCAAUGGGCGAGAGCCUGAACCAGCCAAGUAGCGUGCAGGACGACGGCCCUACGGGUUGUAAACUGCUUUUAUGCGGGGAUAAAGUGCCCUACGUGUAGGGUAUUGCAGGUACCGCAUGAAUAAGGACCGGCUAAUUCCGUGCCAGCCGCAGC